This is a non-coding RNA of Paramisgurnus dabryanus, 1264 nucleotides long. The record is from RefSeq and is a predicted model, not a curated record. NCBI's taxonomy places the organism in Eukaryota, Metazoa, Chordata, Actinopteri, Cypriniformes, Cobitidae.
GCCUCCUGACUGCGUGCGAGAACAUUUUGAAUUAUCUGGCACGAGGCAUCACACGUCAAACUUCAACUGACACAACGGUCUCGGUGAAGGGAAUAAGCAAAAGCUCCUUUAAAUUUCGUCAUUUUUUAUACACAUCCCGUUUAUUUUGUAGUUAAUUGUUAGAUAAGUAAGUAAUUUCGUCAAGUUUUCGUUACAGAGUAAGAUUUCGUUAUCAUCGUUACCAUAUACAGUAUUUAUAUUGGUUCAAGAGCGCAGUUUGAUAACUCAUUCAAGGGGGUUCUGUUCCUGCAGUCUUCCAGCAAUACUGGCGCGUAUGACGAUGCGGACACGAACUGCACAGUACAGUAUACCGCCGCCUACUGUACUGUAGUAAAAUAACGUCCUUUAAACAUCUAAACAUGUCCUCCAAAAAGGUAAGUUCAGCAGAUCAGCUUAUCUUAUUCUGUAAUAUUGAUACUGGUUUGAGAAAAACUAAGAUUAAACAACGUACAUGUUUCCAGGAAAAAGGGAAAAACACUGGAAAACAAUUUCAGCCUAAGGUUUGAGAUGGCUAACUGUGUACAUUGCCUUUGUGUACUGCAAGCUGAACUUACAGAUUUAUAUGGACUUUACUUACAGGUUUCCUGUGCUGUUUUGCUCCAUUUUACAGAACAAAAUAAGGCUGAGGUAGCACCAUCCUUGUGGUUAGAGUGAAAGAAUGUGGGUAUUGAGACCAAAAUAAAUAAUGUGCCAUUCUGGACAAACAGCUGUGGACAAUACAAGCAGUCAGAGUAGCCCAUUUUCUCACACAGAUGAGGAGCAACCAGUAAGAAAAAGCAAAAAGAUGUUUUGAUGUUGCCUGAGGCACCUUAUUCACAUCAGUCAAUUUCUUCCAAUAAUGAAUCAAGAAAUCCUGGAGUGGAGAAUCAUUCUGAAAGUAGACCAAAUACAGGACAACACCACAGCAGUGGUUGGAAAAAUGCCGCAGACAAUGAGCAAACCAAGCUGACUUUCAAAAGAUGAUUCGUUAUCUGUUUCUUCAAAGGGGAGGCAGUUUGGGAGAUGGGAAAUAGGAGGAUGCUUCAGCUACACAGGGCGAAUUUCAGCAGCUCAGUUUCACACUUGCAACUAACAAUGAAUUAUAGUUAGAAGACAACGGAAAUAUUUGACAUGGGAGUCCAGCAGACAGCCAGAGACACGCACACACACGGAGCUGAAGCGCGUUUGACUGACGCGUACGGGAGAUCAGGCACGCGCACGGGAGCUUGCUCGCGCACGCACACAC